Molecule: ribosomal RNA, 490 nt
Filed under: uncultured bacterium
Lineage: Bacteria
Description: partial 16S ribosomal RNA
Rfam family: Bacterial small subunit ribosomal RNA
Source: RNAcentral
AUUGAACGCUGGCGGCAGGCCUAACACAUGCAAGUCGAACGGUAACAGGAAGCAGCUUGCUGCUUCGCUGACGAGUGGCGGACGGGUGAGUAAUGUCUGGGAAGCUGCCUGAUGGAGGGGGAUAACUACUGGAAACGGUAGCUAAUACCGCAUAAUGUCGCAAGACCAAAGAGGGGGACCUUCGGGCCUCUUGCCAUCGGAUGUGCCCAGAUGGGAUUAGCUUGUUGGUGGGGUAACGGCUCACCAAGGCGACGAUCCCUAGCUGGUCUGAGAGGAUGACCAGCCACACCGGAACUGAGACACGGUCCAGACUCCUACGGGAGGCAGCAGUGGGGAAUAUUGCACAAUGGGCGCAAGCCUGAUGCAGCCAUGCCGCGUGUAUGAAGAAGGCCUUCGGGUUGUAAAGUACUUUCAGCGGGGAGGAAGGGGGUAAAGUUAAUACCUUUGCUCAUUGACGUUACCCGCAGAAGAAGCACCGGCUAACUCCGUG